AUUUACGUCAAAUAUCACGUAGCUCAUCCUUAUUCUCAAAACCUCAAAAGUUACGUGUUUUCAGUAACUGUCACUCGAAAACCACGUCGUAUGUACCGCCAUGUUGAGUUAAACCCACCUUAUUUUCACGUAAAUCAUUUCAAUGCGUUUGUGUUGGUGUACUUCCUACUUGGAAGUUUCCGCGAAACGAAAGUUACGUGAAUUUCAGGUGUGCAAAAACAAUUCAAUAUGGCGUCGAGAAGUAGGUUGACACAAGAACUGCAUGCUGAUUAAGAGUUUCUGUGCAAGUUGCUGCAAAUAUUGAGGAGCUGAAAUAAGUAUCUGACGGAGGUUCAGUUCAGUGAAUCGGCUGGACCUUGGGCUGGACUUCGAAGAUUUUUCGUCAAAACCCCGAGAUUUGUUUUGUAUUAUCCCAUCUCAAAGGAUCAGAAACUUAUGUAGAUGGGCUUUGGACGAAGGUGUAGAUUUAUUAAUUACUCCAAAAUAAUAAAACAAACUAAUAAGA
Aedes albopictus (Asian tiger mosquito) is the source of this 505-nucleotide long non-coding RNA. RefSeq lists it as uncharacterized. The transcript is spliced from 2 exons. Lineage: Eukaryota; Metazoa; Arthropoda; Insecta; Diptera; Culicidae. The record is from RefSeq and is a predicted model, not a curated record.